AUGAAAGCUGGCGGCGUGCCUAAUACAUGCAAGUCGAGCGAACAGACGAGGAGCUUGCUCCUCUGACGUUAGCGGCGGACGGGUGAGUAACACGUGGAUAACCUACCUAUAAGACUGGGAUAACUUCGGGAAACCGGAGCUAAUACCGGAUAAUAUAUUGAACCGCAUGGUUCAAUAGGGAAAGCCGGUUUUGCUGUCAUUUAUAGAUGGAUCCGCGCCGAAUUAGCUGGUUGGUAAGGUACCGGCUUACCAAGGCAACGAUGCGUAGCCAACCUGGAGGGGGGUCGGCCCCCCUGGAACUUGGGCACCGGCCAGACUCCUACGGGAGGGAGCAGUAGGGAAUCUUCCGCAAUGGGCGGAAGCUUUGCCGAGCAACCCCGCGGGAGGGAUGAAGGUCCUCCGAUCGGAAAACCCCGUUAAUAGGGAAGAACCAAUGUUGUAGUUACCAUGCACGUCUUGACGGUACCUAAUCAGGAAGCCCCGGCUAACUACGUG
Molecule: ribosomal RNA, 495 nt
Filed under: uncultured bacterium
Lineage: Bacteria
Description: partial 16S ribosomal RNA
Rfam family: Bacterial small subunit ribosomal RNA
Source: RNAcentral